RNAcentral lists this ribosomal RNA (331 nucleotides) under uncultured eukaryote. RNAcentral describes it as "partial 18S ribosomal RNA". It matches the Rfam family "Eukaryotic small subunit ribosomal RNA", at positions 1470 to 1796 of the family's 1831-position model. The record is from RNAcentral.
CCCUUAGAUGUUCUGGGCCGCACGCGCGCUACACUGACGGGGACAACGAGUUUGCAACCUGCGCCGGUAGGUGUGGGUAAUCUUUUGAGCCCUCGUCGUGCUGGGGCUAGAUCUUUGUAAUUUUCGAUCUCAAACGAGGAAUUCCUAGUAAGCGUGAUUCAUCAGAUCGCGUUGAUUACGUCCCUGCCCUUUGUACACACCGCCCGUCGCUACUACCGAUUGAAUGAUUUAGUGAGGACUUCGGACUGGGACCGAUGCGGCUUUCGGGCUGCGUCGGUAUUCUGGAAAGAUGUCCAAACUGUAUCAUUUAGAGGAAGUAAAAGUCGUAACA